This 197-nucleotide ribosomal RNA is filed under the name uncultured bacterium. RNAcentral's name for it is "partial 16S ribosomal RNA". It matches the Rfam family "Bacterial small subunit ribosomal RNA", at positions 328 to 539 of the family's 1533-position model. The record is from RNAcentral.
ACGCUCGACACCUACUGGAGGCAGCAGUGGGGAAUAUUGCACAAUGGGGGAAACCCUGAUGCAGCAACGCCGCGUGAGUGAAGAAGUAUUUCGGUAUGUAAAGCUCUAUCAGCAGGGAAGAUAAUGACGGUACCUGACUAAGAAGCUCCGGCUAAAUACGUGCCACAGCCGCGGUAAUCUGAGCGGGCUGGCAAGGC